This 398-nucleotide ribosomal RNA is filed under the name Sula dactylatra (masked booby). RNAcentral describes it as "partial 12S small subunit ribosomal RNA". It matches the Rfam family "Bacterial small subunit ribosomal RNA", at positions 794 to 1384 of the family's 1533-position model. Lineage: Eukaryota; Metazoa; Chordata; Aves; Suliformes; Sulidae. The record is from RNAcentral.
GCCUAGCCCUAAAUCUUGACACUUACACUACUAAAGUGUCCGCCCGAGAACUACGAGCACAAACGCUUAAAACUCUAAGGACUUGGCGGUGUCCCAAACCCACCUAGAGGAGCCUGUUCUAUAAUCGAUAACCCACGAUACACCCAACCGCCCCUUGCCAAAGCAGCCUACAUACCGCCGUCGUCAGCCCACCUCCCUUGAAAGAAUAACAGUGGGCACAAUAGUCCCUUCUCCCACUAACAAGACAGGUCAAGGUAUAGCUUAUGGGGCGGAAGAAAUGGGCUACAUUUUCUAAGUUAGAAAACCUAACGGAAAGGGGCGCGCAACCCCCCCUAGAAGGCGGAUUUAGCAGUAAAGUGAGACCAUAAAGCCCUCUUUAAACYGGCYCUGGGAYACGU